RNAcentral lists this ribosomal RNA (293 nucleotides) under uncultured soil bacterium. RNAcentral describes it as "partial 16S ribosomal RNA". It matches the Rfam family "Bacterial small subunit ribosomal RNA", at positions 26 to 321 of the family's 1533-position model. The record is from RNAcentral.
AGAUUGAACGCUAGCGGGAUGCUUUACACAUGCAAGUCGAACGGCAGCGCGGACUUCGGUCUGGCGGCGAGUGGCGAACGGGUGAGUAAUAUAUCGGAACGUGCCCAGUAGCGGGGGAUAACUACGCGAAAGCGUGGCUAAUACCGCAUACGCCCUACGGGGGAAAGGGGGGGAUCGCAAGACCUCUCACUAUUGGAGCGGCCGAUAUCAGAUUAGCUAGUUGGUGAGGUAAAGGCUCACCAAGGCGACGAUCUGUAGCUGGUUUGAGAGGACGACCAGCCACACUGGGACUG